Molecule: small nuclear RNA, 132 nt
Filed under: Lynx canadensis (Canada lynx)
Lineage: Eukaryota; Metazoa; Chordata; Mammalia; Carnivora; Felidae
Description: U1 spliceosomal RNA (ENSLCNG00005014398.1)
Rfam family: U1 spliceosomal RNA
About the family: U1 is a small nuclear RNA (snRNA) component of the spliceosome (involved in pre-mRNA splicing). Its 5' end forms complementary base pairs with the 5' splice junction, thus defining the 5' donor site of an intron.
Source: RNAcentral
GGGCCCACCCGGGGGAUGCCGUGGUCACGAAGGCGGUUUUCCGCGGCGAGCCUUGUCCACUGCGGUUUUCCCGAAGGUGGGAAACUCGACCGCAUAAUCUGCGGUCGUGGGGACCGGUUCGCGCCCUCCCUG